GAUGAACGCUGGCGGCGUGCCUAAUACAUGCAAGUCGAACGAUAGCUUUCAGCAAUGGAAGUGAGAGUGGCGAACGGGUGAGUAACACAUGGCUGACCUGCCCUUCAGAGGGGGACAACUGCUGGAAACGGCAGCUAAUACCCCAUACGCUCGAGAGGAUUAGAAGCCUUUUGAGGAAAGCCUACGGGUGCUGAAGGAGGGGGCUGUGGCCCAUCAGCUAGUUGGUAAGGUAACGGCUUACCAAGGCGAGGACGGGUAGGGGGCCUGAGAGGGUGACCCCCCACACGGGCACUGAGAUACGGGCCCGACUCCUACGGGAGGCAG
RNAcentral lists this ribosomal RNA (324 nucleotides) under uncultured Chloroflexota bacterium. RNAcentral describes it as "bacterial SSU rRNA". It matches the Rfam family "Bacterial small subunit ribosomal RNA", at positions 28 to 351 of the family's 1533-position model. Lineage: Bacteria; Bacillati; Chloroflexota. The record is from RNAcentral.